Non-coding RNA from Acanthosepion pharaonis, 107 nucleotides. NCBI's taxonomy places the organism in Eukaryota, Metazoa, Mollusca, Cephalopoda, Sepiida, Sepiidae. The record is from the annotation of a GenBank genome assembly.
GUUAUAUCACGUUGAAACACCGGUUCACGUAUGAUCAUCAAAGUUAAGCAACGUCAAUCCUGGUCAGUACUUAGAUUGGUGACCGCUUGAAAAUACAAGUUGCUGUC